GCCCCGCAUCAGGCUCUCUGCUGUCAGCACAGAGCCUGCUUCGGAUCCUCUGUCUCCCUCUCUCUCUGCCCCUCCCCUCCCCAAAAGUAAAUGAACGUUAACAAAAAUAUAUCCGCAGAAUGAAUCUAGGACUUCAAAGGGACAGAGCUUGACCAGAAAGCCCUUGCCCCUAGCUCUGCACCUUUAUAACUUACUGAUAUUUCCCUCUCUUUGGGGAAGAAGGGAAAUCUGAUUAGAUCGUGAACAUGUUAGUCUGGAUAUGGGUACAAACAGCUGUACAAGACCCAGGAUUGGCCUGGCUGGGCCAUGAGCAGAGACCCUGCUAUGACGUGGUCCAUGGCCUCCACUGAGCUUAAACACACACGUGUGUCUCAGCUCCCCGCCCCGUCAGCUGGAGGCCAAGGGAGCCCAUCUAGCGACUGGACACUGCGGAGAGCCACAGGCACAGUGGGACCGUCUCCUGGGGGGGGCCUCGGUCCGUUCGCCGGGGUCAGUACCACCCUCUUCAAACCCAACUGCUUACUGAUCUGCCUUCCAGCUUCUUUGGGCCACCUCGAAGCCACUGAGGCCAAAAUGACAAGCAUAAAGAUCGUAGUUACAAAGGGCUAGGUUAAUAACAACUCUACUGACUUAAUGGUACUUGAAUAGCCCUUUACUAUCUACAGGCCAUAUUUAUCGCCGGUAUAUCCCCUACACCUCACCACAAAAACCCACGAAGUGCAUAUUUAUUUUUAUUUCCCCCUCUGUGAAGUGGACUUUAUCAGGAUGUUUUGUGGCUUGUCCACGAUCACAGAGCCAGCGACGGAAGGUGACGUUUUCCGGCCGUCAAGUUCAGUGGUUUGGACACUGCUCCGCUAAGUUACUGUAAAUGAAUGGCCUACAGGACUUUCCAGAGCAGCUCUGUUUGAGGGUUGUUUAUUGGUGGAAAAACAAAACAGCGUUUCAGGACCAGAUCUUUUGGGGAAACACUCUUCGCACAUAAUGAAAUGAUUUUCUUUACAGGGGGAUCUUUAGAGCCUUUCCCUUGUCCGUCCUCAAGCCGUCCAUGCGACCCUGUGGGAUCUAAGCUGGCAGGAGGGCCUCCGAGGUGGCGUGGAAGCUGAGAAGAAUUGCACAGAAGAGGCCACGGAGCAGAAUUGAGCCCCGAAGGGAAAAAUACCAGCGUCGUUAACACACGAAGGUCAAAUCCAGGCUGCUCAGUGUGCAUCCAGAGCUCCUGAGUCGCCGGGCCAAGGCGGACCUCCCCCCUGCUUGGCCCCGGCUGCCGACGGUGCCCAAGAUGCCGGGAGCCGGCUGUUCUGUCUUACUAAAUUAGGCAUCUAUUUCGUUUGGCCGUCCGCGUUUUGAGAAGCUGUGGGCACAAUCCCUGUGGUCCUCUGCUAGACGAGGGAGGCCCGGGGAAGUUGGUGGUGGCCAAGGGUAACAAAAAGAAAGAGGGAGUGACUUUGUGGAAGCAUGGCUCUCAAAGCGCUUCUGUUUUUGUUAGGGUCUCGGGGAAGGUCGCGAGGGAAAGACAAGAUUAAAAGGGAAAGACGGCCUAUCUUCUCUGAUGGAUUCUUGAAUAAUUUCCAGCAAACUUCGUUCUCCUCACUGUUGGUGUUUGGGGGAGGUGGUGCGGGGCCCAUGACGGAGACCCGACCUCUUGGUGAAUGUCCAAAAUGAGAGUGGGUCCAGUUCGCUGGUCACCACAGUGGAGGCAGGUUGUCCCUUGGCAGCUACAGGGACGCCUCCUCAGCUGGGCCGGGCCUUCCUCUGAGUGGCCAAGUUCUACCUCGUCUGCUCAUCCGUCAGCCUCCUGGGGUUCAACCUGCCCCUCCCUUUUAGUAGCUAAUCACCUUUCGCUCUAUCGGCAAUUUUUUUUUAAUUAAAAAAAUGCUUUUAUUUAUUUUU
Long non-coding RNA from Herpailurus yagouaroundi (jaguarundi), 1890 nucleotides. RefSeq lists it as uncharacterized. The transcript is spliced from 2 exons. NCBI's taxonomy places the organism in Eukaryota, Metazoa, Chordata, Mammalia, Carnivora, Felidae. The record is from RefSeq and is a predicted model, not a curated record.